GGCCUGAUGGUGUAAAUGGUUAACACGCCUGCUACUGGUUUUGUAUGCAGAAAGACAUUGUGCAGGAGCUCCCGGUUCGAUUCCGGCUCAGGUCA
Mycena alexandri is the source of this 95-nucleotide non-coding RNA. The record is from the annotation of a GenBank genome assembly. NCBI's taxonomy places the organism in Eukaryota, Fungi, Basidiomycota, Agaricomycetes, Agaricales, Mycenaceae.